This 264-nucleotide long non-coding RNA is filed under the name Vigna radiata. RNAcentral's name for it is "long non-coding RNA (VRAD_LNC014926)". Lineage: Eukaryota; Viridiplantae; Streptophyta; Magnoliopsida; Fabales; Fabaceae. The record is from RNAcentral.
GGAGAAGAAACUUAUCUAUAGAUGCGUGGACGUCCUAGGCUCUAGGUACCACUUGAUGGAGACUUGCUAUGGACUGGAAGCAUGGAGAUCUGGUUCCAAACAGCAAGCAUUCCAUGAUGCAGUGAGGUGCAGCGGAAUUGGAUGUAGUUGAAUGGAAUUUGGUGUUUGGUGAUGGAAGGUGUGUGUAAUUGAUCCUCUCAGCUCAGAAGGCCCUCCUAUAAUGGAAGGAAGCUAGAGGAAAGGGUAGAGAAAGUGCAAAGAAGC